Molecule: ribosomal RNA, 253 nt
Filed under: uncultured bacterium
Lineage: Bacteria
Description: partial 16S ribosomal RNA
Rfam family: Bacterial small subunit ribosomal RNA
Source: RNAcentral
UACGUAGGGUGCAAGCGUUGUCCGGAAUUAUUGGGCGUAAAGAGCGUGUAGGCGGCCCGAUUAGUCCGCUGUGAAAGUCCAGGGCUCAACCCUGGAAUGCCGGUGGAUACUGUCGGGCUAGAGUCCGGAAGGGGCGAGUGGAAUUCCAGGUGUAGCGGUGAAAUGCGUAGAGAUCUGGAGGAACACCGAUGGCGAAGGCAGCCUUCUGGGCCAACACUGACGCUCAUGCACGAAAGCGUGGGGAGCAAACAGG